UACGGAGGGGGCUAGCGUUGUUCGGAAUUACUGGGCGUAAAGCGCGCGUAGGCGGACCUGCAAGUCGGGGGUGAAAGCCCGAGGCUCAACCUCGGAACUGCCUUCGAUACUGCGGGUCUCGAGUCCGGGAGAGGUGAGUGGAAUUCUUAGUGUAGAGGUGAAAUUCGUAGAUAUUAGGAAGAACACCAGUGGCGAAGGCGGCUAACUGGUCCAGCACUGACGCUGAGGUGCGAAAGCGUGGGGAGCAAACAGG
RNAcentral lists this ribosomal RNA (253 nucleotides) under uncultured bacterium. RNAcentral describes it as "partial 16S ribosomal RNA". It matches the Rfam family "Bacterial small subunit ribosomal RNA", at positions 524 to 776 of the family's 1533-position model. The record is from RNAcentral.